This is a long non-coding RNA of Grus americana (Whooping crane), 913 nucleotides long. RefSeq lists it as uncharacterized. NCBI's taxonomy places the organism in Eukaryota, Metazoa, Chordata, Aves, Gruiformes, Gruidae. The record is from RefSeq and is a predicted model, not a curated record. The transcript is spliced from 3 exons.
GCACUCCGGGCGUGCAGCCUGCCCUUGAAGGGAGAAAGGCUGGAGGCAGGUGGAGGCUCUGUUUGCUUUUCUCCGAUAACAGGGAAGGGAAAUGCUGAUCCUCCAGCUCACAGAUGGUCCUCCUGGAACGACCUCCUGGUUUCCACCCCAUUGGCCACGUCUGGUGAUGGGGAAGGAUUUUGGAGGAGGGAUGAAGGACAUCGGGCUCCCUCCCCAACAGCAGCACCAGCAGCACUGCACGUGCUGAGGGAUGCGCCACGGGAUGCGAUGUCGCUGGACCGGAGUCACAGCCAAGCUGGGAUUCAGCAAUCACACAGGGGGAAGGAUUGAGCAUCACCUAAACGGUUGGUUUUCCACCUUGUAUCUCCCUGAAACUUCAAACGACUGCACACACAGCAAUGAAUUUAGAGUAAUGCCACCAAUGAAACGCUCAAAUUAAUAGCAAUAAAGUGUAAAUGCUCCACGUGGUAGCAGCAGAGCCGUGCUUGGGAGAAUGAUCUGCGAAAGCUUAAAAACCAGCACAAGAUGAGACCACUGGGAAAAAAAAGCAACAAAACAAACAGUCCAUUUCAAUAUCCUUUUCAUAAGGAACCAAUAUGAACCCAAGAACACAUCAGAGAAUAAUCAUUUAGCACAGAUCAAACAGUAGAACUAGCACAUUAAAAAUACAUGCAGCAUUAAUCAGCUACGCAGAGUUAUAUGCCAUCAUUUCCAUAAAUAAUACAGGAUCAAAGCAGCCCAAGCAGCGCUAUCAGUUAAUAUAGUCAGCCAGUCAGUCAAAAUAGAGUAAAGCUGCCUGAAAACUGCGGCGGUAUAAUUUGCCAGGAAUAAAGCAGAUUCAUCUGAGAAGCGGCAUGACCAGUUAAACGGGUGAAGGUUACCAGCAGCCUCCUAUUUAUACAGAGGUGAUGCG